Molecule: unclassified non-coding RNA, 562 nt
Filed under: Fusarium veterinarium
Lineage: Eukaryota; Fungi; Ascomycota; Sordariomycetes; Hypocreales; Nectriaceae
Description: sequence contains 18S rRNA gene, ITS1, 5.8S rRNA gene, ITS2, 28S rRNA gene
Rfam family: 5.8S ribosomal RNA (bases 204-357)
Source: RNAcentral
UGGAAGUAAAAGUCGUAACAAGGUCUCCGUUGGUGAACCAGCGGAGGGAUCAUUACCGAGUUUACAACUCCCAAACCCCUGUGAACAUACCACUUGUUGCCUCGGCGGAUCAGCCCGCUCCCGGUAAAACGGGACGGCCCGCCAGAGGACCCCUAAACUCUGUUUCUAUAUGUAACUUCUGAGUAAAACCAUAAAUAAAUCAAAACUUUCAACAACGGAUCUCUUGGUUCUGGCAUCGAUGAAGAACGCAGCAAAAUGCGAUAAGUAAUGUGAAUUGCAGAAUUCAGUGAAUCAUCGAAUCUUUGAACGCACAUUGCGCCCGCCAGUAUUCUGGCGGGCAUGCCUGUUCGAGCGUCAUUUCAACCCUCAAGCACAGCUUGGUGUUGGGACUCGCGUUAAUUCGCGUUCCCCAAAUUGAUUGGCGGUCACGUCGAGCUUCCAUAGCGUAGUAGUAAAACCCUCGUUACUGGUAAUCGUCGCGGCCACGCCGUUAAACCCCAACUUCUGAAUGUUGACCUCGGAUCAGGUAGGAAUACCCGCUGAACUUAAGCAUAUCAAUAAG